AAAAAUUUAGUUAAAAUAAUAACAUUAGUUUGUCAAACUAAAAUUAUUCACUAUAAUAAUUUUUA
This 65-nucleotide transfer RNA is filed under the name Cucujoidea sp. 34 KM-2017. Its description in RNAcentral is "tRNA-Asp". Lineage: Eukaryota; Metazoa; Arthropoda; Insecta; Coleoptera. The record is from RNAcentral.